GUGGGGAAUCUUGCGCAAUGGGCGAAAGCCUGACGCAGCCAUGCCGCGUGAAUGAUGAAGGUCUUAGGAUUGUAAAAUUCUUUCACCGGGGACGAUAAUGACGGUACCCGGAGAAGAAGCCCCGGCUAACUUCGUGCCAGCAGCCGCGGUAAUACGAAGGGGGCUAGCGUUGCUCGGAAUUACUGGGCGUAAAGGGCGCGUAGGCGGACAGUUUAGUCAGAGGUGAAAGCCCAGGGCUCAACCUUGGAAUUGCCUUUGAUACUGGCUGUCUUGAGUUUGGGAGAGGUGAGUGGAACUCCGAGUGUAGAGGUGAAAUUCGUAGAUAUUCGGAAGAACACCAGUGGCGAAGGCGACUCACUGGCCCGUUACUGACGCUGAGGCGCGAAAGCGUGGGGAGCAAACAGGAUUAGAUACCCGUGUAGUCC
This 425-nucleotide ribosomal RNA is filed under the name uncultured bacterium. Its description in RNAcentral is "partial 16S ribosomal RNA". It matches the Rfam family "Bacterial small subunit ribosomal RNA", at positions 354 to 796 of the family's 1533-position model. The record is from RNAcentral.